Molecule: long non-coding RNA, 769 nt
Organism: Equus quagga
Lineage: Eukaryota; Metazoa; Chordata; Mammalia; Perissodactyla; Equidae
Exons: 2
Source: RefSeq, a predicted model, not a curated record
UGAGUCCACUGGAUUAGCAAAGCAGGGCAACGCCUUCUGUACCACCAUCUAUGCCAUCUAGUUAGGAGGCAGAAUCUCAGGACUAAUUGCUUCAUUUCUUCAUUUGGCCUUGAAAAAACAUUUCGUUAUUUGUUGUUGCCUGCUAUGUGGAAGGGACCAAGAAUAUCCUCUAAAACGGAAUCUGUUUUGUUUGGUGCUAUGGACACCCUAGGGAGGAAAAAAUUUUUUUGAAAGAGGAGCUGUCAUUUCCAACUUAUCUUUAUUACUCACCUCAAUGCUCGAGGAUCUCUCCACUCAUUCAUGAAGCGUAAUAAGGAGGACACGAAAGCUGGAGCUGGGGGAUGUCUGGCUAUUUUAUAUAAGAUGGCUGAGGAAGGCAGCACAGGUAUUCAAGCCAAGACCUGAGGGACACGAGCAAGCAAGCCACACAGACGUGUGCAAGAAAGGGGAUUGCAGCAAACGUGAAGAGGAAGCUGCAGCGUGGUUUGUAAAUCGUGAAAGAUCAAGGAAGCUGUGAGGACACAAUGAGAAGAUGGCCAUCUGCAAGCCAGGAAGAGAGCCCUCCCUGAGGAACUGAAUGGGCCAGCACCUUGGGCUUGGACUUCCAGUCUCCUGAACUAGAACUCUGAGGCUCUGGGGAGGCAGAAACACAAAAUGGAAGGAAAGUGAACUACUGGAUGUCGUCUGGAAGGCCCACCCUCUGACCAGGAACACCAGCAUUAGACACUCAUGUGAGCAAGAAAUAAAUGUCUCUUAUGUCGAAACAUGA